Molecule: small nucleolar RNA, 93 nt
Organism: Hibiscus syriacus
Lineage: Eukaryota; Viridiplantae; Streptophyta; Magnoliopsida; Malvales; Malvaceae
Source: RefSeq, a predicted model, not a curated record
UUUUGGCAAAUGAUGAAUUCUUAUUUGUAAUUUGGUAAUUUGCAUCUGAUAAUUUUAUAUUGAUGCUAUCAUCGUGGAGAUCUGAUGCCCUUU